Molecule: ribosomal RNA, 200 nt
Filed under: uncultured bacterium
Lineage: Bacteria
Description: partial 16S ribosomal RNA
Rfam family: Bacterial small subunit ribosomal RNA
Source: RNAcentral
AUGGGGAAUAACUAGUCGAAAGAUUAGCUAAUACCGCAUAAGACCACAGGAUCUGAGGAUCUAGAGGUCAAAGGAGCAAUUCGCUCUAAGAUGAGCCCGCGUCAGAUUAGCUAGUUGGUGAGGUAACGGCUCACCAAGGCAUUGAUCUGUAGCUGGUCUGAGAGGAUGAUCAGCCACACUGGAACUGAGACACGGUCCAG